ACAAGAGGCUGUCAUAACGACAGCUAACCGGAUUUAUUAACAUUUAUUUGUGUCUUGGCAAUAUCACAAGAACCAUUACUGAUGAAUGGUGAAAGUGAAAAUCGUCAAUAUCAAAUUUGACCUCCAUUUUGUCAUCAGUAUCAACAUAUUGAAAUUUGAAAAGCUUAGAUUGAAUGGUUCAUGAGUAAAUGCAACAACGUGAAUGGAAACGCCAUUUUACGAUCUUUCAAGAACCAUAACUCCUGAACGGUAAAAGUCAAAAUCGCCAUUAUUGAAUUUGACCUUCGUAUAGUUGUCAGUAAUAACAUAUUAAAAUUUUAAAAGCUUUGGUUGAACGGUUCAUGAGUUAAUGCACGGACAACAUUUGAUUGCCGCCCGCCCGCCCACC
Molecule: long non-coding RNA, 388 nt
Filed under: Mytilus galloprovincialis (Mediterranean mussel)
Lineage: Eukaryota; Metazoa; Mollusca; Bivalvia; Mytilida; Mytilidae
Source: RNAcentral